RNAcentral lists this long non-coding RNA (1873 nucleotides) under Homo sapiens (human). Its description in RNAcentral is "HSALNT0170777". The record is from RNAcentral. Lineage: Eukaryota; Metazoa; Chordata; Mammalia; Primates; Hominidae.
GCUGUCCUCCCGCAGCACAGCUGGGGACCACCGGAGUCUCUGAGGUCCUGGAGCAAGGAGACCAGACUGGCUCUUCUGAGGUCCCGGAGCAAGAAGACCAGACGGGCUCCUCUGACAUCCCGGAGCAAGGAGAACAGACGGGCUCCUCUGAGGUCCCGGAGCGAGGAGACCAGACUGGCUCUUCUUGUUUCUCAUUUGGCCGUUCAGCACAUUGUGGGGACCCCUACUGCCUGUCAGUUACCGUUCUACGGGACAUAGCAGAGAACUAAACAAGAAGCUUAGAUUCUGGUGCAGGCAUGGAACUUCAGAAGGCUCAAAAUGUGCUGGCUGGGUGCUGAGUGUGGCAGGAGCCAGGGGGCACAUGCAAGCCUGCGCAGCCCACCCAGUACCAGGGAAGCAGGAGCAGCAGCCCAAAGAGGGUCCCCCUGUGUUGCCCAGGCUGGUCUUCAACUCCUGGCCUCAAGUGAUCCUUCCGCCUCAGCCUCCCAGAUUGCUGAGAUUACAGGCAUGCACCACCACAUCCAGCCAGGGCGUUCAUUUUCAAGGAUGGGUGCACUUCCUCGGGCCAGUGACGGCGGCCAUGUGUGAAUUUUGUUUCUCUGUGACUGCUUGUCAGCCAUAGGGAUAGGGCGUGCGGUUCGAUUCAGGGCUUGACUGGCCCUGGGAGCACGAGGCUGAGCUCUCCUUCUCUGGAUUCAUUCAGGGUAGCAAGGACAAUUAUGGGGAACAUCCAGAGGAAAACGUUUAGAUCCACAGACUCCGAGAAGCCCUGUGCGAAGAUGUGGCAGCUCAUGCGGUCUGGAAAUUGUUUGGGAGAACACUUGGGGACCCCUUACCCUGGCGAGGUGCCUGUGAACGUUGCCGCCUGUCUGUGGGAGACGCUGAAGCAGCUUCGGAUGACCACACUUGCUAACCAGUUCCCGAGCUGGGGGCCACUGUGAUGUUCUGAGAGUUUUUAUUGUAUGCUUGUGUCUUGGAAUGGGGUGCCUCAAAUGAGCCUUCUCAGUGACCUGAGGACUUUAUGUGUGAGGUGACCUCUGACCUUCAGAUACCCCAGGUUUCUGGAAGAUGCCUUUCUCCAUCAUCCUGGAUCGGGGCUUUCCCAGCUUUGCCUACACCUGGGAGGCGCGAGUAGCCAGAUGAAGUCUUUCUGGUCUUGCUGGUCAGAGCCAGAAGGGCCAGUGCCCGGUCCAGGAGCCUCUCGCAGGCCUUGGGCUGCCCAUCCAGGCGUGGCCUUUCCUUGGCCCUUUGGACGACGACGCCGCGUUUUCCUCUUGGUCUCGGCCUCCCUGCCCACCAUGAGAGUGGACAUGAGAGUGACCAUCUCCAAGGAGGCAGCUGGGUCUUUUCCACUCCCCAUGGCAGGGAGCCAGCUGUCUUCACGCCCUCACCCUAGUGAAGUGGCUGAAUUGCCAGGAUUGAUCACAGCUCUGUUCUGUGUCUGAUCACAGGACAUACACCGUCCUGCAGAGUCUGCAGGCGGGUGGGAGGAGCCAUUGAACAGACCUGGCGUCCUGGGAGGGACACGGAAUUCUUCCCUUGAGAGUCUCAUGCUAUCUUGAGCGGCACUCUGUCACUUCCAAGAUGUGUAGACGUCGUGCUGCGUGUAGGACAAGGACUGGAGCUCACUAAUACGGACCUUACUUUCCAGGAGCGUUGGAUUUGAGCAGCUCUGAGAUGUGUCCUCCUGCAGGGCUGCUGUGCCUGGUGCCCUUUCUCUGGGUCCCUUACCCUCUGCCUCCCUUCCUGUUGGGUCCUCUUCAUUCCCAUUUCUGCUUCCCCAGGGCCAGGAGGGUGCUGGGCACUCGGUGGCCACCUCAAUGACAGUGUGCACAUUUACCUGAAGGGGCGAAGGGUUACCUUUAUAUUUCAG